This 365-nucleotide long non-coding RNA is filed under the name Oryza brachyantha (malo sina). Its description in RNAcentral is "long non-coding RNA (OBRA_LNC001770)". The record is from RNAcentral. Lineage: Eukaryota; Viridiplantae; Streptophyta; Magnoliopsida; Poales; Poaceae.
AGGGGGGGUGGCUGGCCUCGGCAGGUGGCGGCGACUUGCUCUGAUCUAUGCAGGACGGCUACUGCAUUCCAGAAAGAAAAAAAACACCAUGUAAAAAGCUGCUGCUGGGAUCGUGCCACGUGGAUGGCCAGUAAGUUCAAUAAUAUAGCCAACUACUAUCUAUAAUUUAUCUAUAGUCAAUCUAAUAGUCAAUUUAUAUUAUAGUUACCUACAAAACAUUAAUACAUGGUCCCACGUGUCAUGUACAUACUGUGUCUUGGAGUCCGUAUGUAGCUGGCUAUAAAUUAGUAGCCCACCUCUUUUCUCUCUUCUCUUUUAUCUGUUUAAAAUAUAUUUAUAACUGGCUUAUACCUUGUACCUGCUCA